UACAGAGGGUGCAAGCGUUGUUCGGAAUUACUGGGCGUAAAGAGUGUGUAGGCGGUGCUCCCAGUCUGUUGUGAAAUCUCCCGGCUUAACUGGGAGGGUGCAGCGGAAACUAGAGUGCUAGAGGGUGGGAGAGGUAAGCGGAAUUCCUGGUGUAGCGGUGAAAUGCGUAGAUAUGCGGAGGAACACCGAUGGCGAAGGCAAUCCCCUGGGCCUGCACUGACGCUCAUGCACGAAAGCGUGGGGAGCAAACAGG
RNAcentral lists this ribosomal RNA (253 nucleotides) under uncultured bacterium. RNAcentral's name for it is "partial 16S ribosomal RNA". It matches the Rfam family "Bacterial small subunit ribosomal RNA", at positions 524 to 776 of the family's 1533-position model. The record is from RNAcentral.